CACGUAGGGGGCAAGCGUUGUCCGGAAUCAUCGGGCGUAAAGAGCUCGUAGGCGGCUCAGUAAGUCGGGUGUGAAACCCCCAGGCUCAACCUGGGGACGCCACCCGAUACUGCUGUGGCUAGAGUCCAGUAGAGGAGUGUGGAAUUCCCGGUGUAGCGGUGAAAUGCGCAGAUAUCGGGAGGAACACCAGCGGCGAAGGCGGCACUCUGGGCUGGUACUGACGCUGAGGAGCGAAAGCGUGGGUAGCAAACAGG
RNAcentral lists this ribosomal RNA (254 nucleotides) under uncultured bacterium. RNAcentral describes it as "partial 16S ribosomal RNA". It matches the Rfam family "Bacterial small subunit ribosomal RNA", at positions 524 to 776 of the family's 1533-position model. The record is from RNAcentral.